GAUGAACGCUGGCGGCGUGCCUAAUACAUGCGAGUCGAGCGAACGGACGAGAAGCUUGCUUCUUUGAUGUUAGCGGCGGACGGGUGAGUAACACGUGGAUAACCUACCUAUAAGACUGGGAUAACUUCGGGAAACCGUAGCUAAUACCGGAUAAUAUUUUGAACCGCAUGGUUCAAAAGUGAAAGACGGUCUUGCUGUCACUUAUAGAUGGAUCCGCGCUGCAUUAGCUAGUUGGUAAGGUAACGGCUUACCAAGGCAACGAUGCAUAGCCGACCUGAGAGGGUGAUCGGCCACACUGGAACUGAGACACGGUCCAGACUCCUACGGGAGGCAGCAGUAGGGAAUCUUCCGCAAUGGGCGAAAGCCUGACGGAGCAACGCCGCGUGAGUGAUGAAGGUCUUCGGAUCGUAAAACUCUGUUAUUAGGGAAGAACAUAUGUGUAAGUAACUGUGCACAUCUUGACGGUACCUAAUCAGAAAGCCACGGCUAACUACGUG
Molecule: ribosomal RNA, 497 nt
Filed under: uncultured bacterium
Lineage: Bacteria
Description: partial 16S ribosomal RNA
Rfam family: Bacterial small subunit ribosomal RNA
Source: RNAcentral